Molecule: long non-coding RNA, 233 nt
Filed under: Phoenix dactylifera (date palm)
Lineage: Eukaryota; Viridiplantae; Streptophyta; Magnoliopsida; Arecales; Arecaceae
Description: long non-coding RNA (PDAC_LNC022888)
Source: RNAcentral
GAACACGGGGCUCCCCUGCCAGAUAUUGUCCGGUUCUGGAGCUUCACGCAAGCGUCCUUCAUCCCUCCCCGGUUUUAUUUUCCACCCAAAACGCGUCUGCAGGAUUAGGAGACACCCGCCUCAUAUGCCCAGGCUCUGGAACGAGUCUUUCCGAUGUGGGACUAUUGGGCCUCACACCCUUCCCACCAUCGGACAAGAGCCGUCCUCGGCUCUGAUACCAAAUGUCACGCCCC